Molecule: ribosomal RNA, 253 nt
Filed under: uncultured bacterium
Lineage: Bacteria
Description: partial 16S ribosomal RNA
Rfam family: Bacterial small subunit ribosomal RNA
Source: RNAcentral
GACGAACCGUCCAACCGUUAUUCGGAAUCACUGGGCUUACAGAGUUCGUAGGCGGUCUGGAAAGUUGGGUGUGAAAUCCCUCGGCUCAACCGAGGAACUGCGCUCAAAACUACCCGACUCGAGGGAGAUAGAGGAAAGCGGAACUGAUGGUGGAGCGGUGAAAUGCGUUGAUAUCAUCAGGAACACCGGUGGCGAAGGCGGCUUUCUGGGUCUUACCUGACGCUGAGGAACGAAAGCUAGGGGAGCGAACGGG